GCUCCAGUGGCGCAAUCGGUUAGCGCGCGGUACUUAUAAGACAGUGCACGUGUGAGCAAUGCCGAGGUUGUGAGUUCAAGCCUCACCUGGAGCA
This 94-nucleotide transfer RNA is filed under the name Pongo abelii (Sumatran orangutan). It matches the Rfam family "tRNA". Rfam says of the family: Transfer RNA (tRNA) molecules are approximately 80 nucleotides in length. The record is from Rfam by way of RNAcentral. Lineage: Eukaryota; Metazoa; Chordata; Mammalia; Primates; Hominidae.